GACGAACCGUGCAAACGUUGUUCGGAAUCACUGGGCUUAAAGGGCGCGUAGGCGGGCAGGCAAGUCGAAGGUGAAAUCCCACGGCUCAACCGUGGAAGUGCCCCCGAUACUGCCUGUCUCGAGGGAGAUAGGGGCGUGCGGAACUUCCGGUGGAGCGGUGAAAUGCGUAGAUAUCGGAAGGAACACCGGGGCGAAAGCGGCGCGCUGGAUCUCUUCUGACGCUGAUGCGCGAAAGCCAGGGGAGCAAACGGG
RNAcentral lists this ribosomal RNA (252 nucleotides) under uncultured bacterium. RNAcentral's name for it is "partial 16S ribosomal RNA". It matches the Rfam family "Bacterial small subunit ribosomal RNA", at positions 524 to 776 of the family's 1533-position model. The record is from RNAcentral.